Molecule: unclassified non-coding RNA, 306 nt
Filed under: plant metagenome
Description: partial contains 5.8S ribosomal RNA, internal transcribed spacer 2, and large subunit ribosomal RNA
Rfam family: 5.8S ribosomal RNA (bases 1-105)
Source: RNAcentral
GAAAUGUGAUAAGUAAUGUGAAUUGCAGAAUUCAGUGAAUCAUCGAAUCUUUGAACGCACAUUGCGCCCGCCAGUAUUCUGGCGGGCAUGCCUGUCCGAGCGUCAUUUCAACCAUCAAGCCCCCGGGCUUGUGUUGGGGACCUGCGGCUGCCCGCAGGCCCUGAAAACCAGUGGCGGGCUCGCUGUCACACCGAGCGUAGUAGCAAUCACCUCGCUCAGGGCGUGCUGCGGGUUCCGUCCGUUAAACAGCCUUACAAAACCCAAGGUUGACCUCGGAUCAGGUAGGAACACCGGCUGAACUUGAGC